CUACAAAUGAAUUGACGGGGACCCGCACAAGCAGCGGAGCGUGUGGUUUAAUUCGUUGCUACACGAAGAACCUUACCUGGGUUUGACAUAUAGGUUGUAGGGAACUGAAAGGGACCGACCCUUCGGGGAGCCUAUACAGGUGUUGCAUGGCUGUCGUCAGCUCGUGUCGUGAGAUGUUCGGUUAAGUCCGCUAACGAGCGCAACCCUCGUCGUAUGUUAUAUGUGUCAUACGAGACUGCCGGUAAAAAGCCGGAGGAAGGUGAGGAUGAUGUCAAGUCAGCAUGACCUUUAUAUCCAGGGCUACACACACGCUACAAUGGUCUGUACAAUGGGUAGCCAAGCCGCGAGGCGGAGCCAAUCCUGAAAGCAGGCCUCAGUUCAGAUUGCAGUCUGCAACUCGACUGCAUGAAGCCGGAGUUGCUAGUAACCGCAGGUCAGCAAUACUGCGGUGAAUACGUUCCCGGGUCUU
RNAcentral lists this ribosomal RNA (469 nucleotides) under uncultured Anaerolineaceae bacterium. RNAcentral's name for it is "bacterial SSU rRNA". It matches the Rfam family "Bacterial small subunit ribosomal RNA", at positions 903 to 1382 of the family's 1533-position model. Lineage: Bacteria; Bacillati; Chloroflexota; Anaerolineae; Anaerolineales; Anaerolineaceae. The record is from RNAcentral.